Molecule: ribosomal RNA, 253 nt
Filed under: uncultured bacterium
Lineage: Bacteria
Description: partial 16S ribosomal RNA
Rfam family: Bacterial small subunit ribosomal RNA
Source: RNAcentral
UACGUAGGUGGCAAGCGUUAUCCGGAUUUAUUGGGUGUAAAGGGCGUGUAGGCGGGAGCGCAAGUCAGAUGUGAAAACUCAGGGCUCAACCCUAAGCCUGCAUUUGAAACUGUGUUUCUUGAGUGCUGGAGAGGCAAUCGGAAUUCCGUGUGUAGCGGUGAAAUGCGUAGAUAUACGGAGGAACACCAGUGGCGAAGGCGGAUUGCUGGACAGUAACUGACGCUGAGGCGCGAAAGCGUGGGGAGCAAACAGG